RNAcentral lists this unclassified non-coding RNA (25 nucleotides) under Mus musculus (house mouse). Its description in RNAcentral is "oocyte_clustered_small_RNA4757". The record is from RNAcentral. Lineage: Eukaryota; Metazoa; Chordata; Mammalia; Rodentia; Muridae.
UAAGUCCCUACCUAGCUUCUCUCAG